GUUUUAAUAGUUUAAAUAAAACAUUGGUCUUGUAAACCAAAGAUAAGAUGUACUUUUAAAACU
RNAcentral lists this transfer RNA (63 nucleotides) under Schizodactylus jimo. RNAcentral describes it as "tRNA-Thr". It matches the Rfam family "tRNA". From Rfam's summary of the family: Transfer RNA (tRNA) molecules are approximately 80 nucleotides in length. Their secondary structure includes four short double-helical elements and three loops (D, anti-codon, and T loops). Further hydrogen bonds mediate the characteristic L-shaped molecular structure. tRNAs have two regions of fundamental functional importance: the anti-codon, which is responsible for specific mRNA codon recognition, and the 3' end, to which the tRNAs corresponding amino acid is attached (by aminoacyl-tRNA synthetases). tRNAs cope with the degeneracy of the genetic code in two manners: having more than one tRNA (with a specific anti-codon) for a particular amino acid; and 'wobble' base-pairing, i.e. permitting non-standard base-pairing at the 3rd anti-codon position. Lineage: Eukaryota; Metazoa; Arthropoda; Insecta; Orthoptera; Schizodactylidae. The record is from RNAcentral.